This 26-nucleotide non-coding RNA is filed under the name Mus musculus (house mouse). Lineage: Eukaryota; Metazoa; Chordata; Mammalia; Rodentia; Muridae. The record is from RNAcentral.
GAGGCUGUGAUGAGGUUGAUAAGUGC